ACGGGUGAGUAAUAUAUUGGAACGUACCGAGUAAUGGGGGAUAACUAUCCGAAAGGAUAGCUAAUACCGCAUACGCUUUGAGAAGGAAAGCAGGGGAUCUUCGGACCUUGCGUUAUUCGAGCGGCCAAUAACUGAUUAGCUAGUUGGUGGGGUAAGGGCCUACCAAGGCGACGAUCAGUAGCGGGUCUGAGAGGAUGAUCCGCCACACUGGGACUGAGACACGGCCCAGACUCCUACGGGAGGCAGCAGUGGGGAAUUUUGGACAAUGGGCGCAAGCCUGAUCCAGCCAUGCCGCGUGUAUGAAGAAGGCCUUAGGGUUGUAAAGUACUUUUGUUAGGGAAGAAAAGGGAAGUGCUAAUACCACUUUUUGCUGACGGUACCUAAAGAAUAAGCACCGGCUAACUACGUGCCAGCAGCCGCGGUAAUACGUAGGGUGCGAGCGUUAAUCGGAAUUACUGGGCGUAAAGCGAGCGCAGACGGUUACUUAAGCAAGAUGUGAAAUCCCUGAGCUCAACUUGGGAACUGCGUUUUGAACUGGGUAGCUAGAGUGUGUCAGAGGGGGGUAGAAUUCCACGUGUAGCAGUGAAAUGCGUAGAGAUGUGGAGGAAUACCGAUGGCGAAGGCAGCCUCCUGGGAUAACACUGACGUUCAUGCUCGAAAGCGUGGGUAGCAAACAGGAUUAGAUACCCUGGUAGUCCACGCCCUAAAC
Molecule: ribosomal RNA, 709 nt
Filed under: uncultured bacterium
Lineage: Bacteria
Description: bacterial SSU rRNA
Rfam family: Bacterial small subunit ribosomal RNA
Source: RNAcentral